CAGAGGGUAGUUUAAUUAAAAUAUUAAUUUUGGGAAUUAGUGAUAAAGUAUUACUUUCCUUCUGA
Molecule: transfer RNA, 65 nt
Filed under: Pycnoscelus surinamensis (Surinam cockroach)
Lineage: Eukaryota; Metazoa; Arthropoda; Insecta; Blattodea; Blaberidae
Also listed under: 1 other name
Description: tRNA-Pro
Source: RNAcentral